RNAcentral lists this ribosomal RNA (467 nucleotides) under uncultured bacterium. RNAcentral describes it as "partial 16S ribosomal RNA". It matches the Rfam family "Bacterial small subunit ribosomal RNA", at positions 28 to 506 of the family's 1533-position model. The record is from RNAcentral.
GACGAACGCUGGCGGCGUGCUUAACACAUGCAAGUCGAACGGAAAGGCCCUGCUUUUGUGGGGUGCUCGAGUGGCGAACGGGUGAGUAACACGUGAGUAACCUGCCCUUGACUUUGGGAUAACUUCAGGAAACUGGGGCUAAUACCGGAUAGGAGCUCCUGCUGCAUGGUGGGGGUUGGAAAGUUUCGGCGGUUGGGGAUGGACUCGCGGCUUAUCAGCUUGUUGGUGGGGUAGUGGCUUACCAAGGCUUUGACGGGUAGCCGGCCUGAGAGGGUGACCGGCCAAAUGGGGAAUGGGAAAGGGCCCAGACCCCAAGGGGGGGCAGGAGGGGGGAAAAUGGCAAAAGGGGGGGAAGCCGGAGGCAGAAACGCCGGGGGGGGGAGGACGGCCUUGGGGUGGUAAACCGCUUUCGCCUGGGACGAAGGGGGGGUGACGGUAAUGGGGAAAGAAGCACCGGCAAACUACGU